AUGAGGAUGAAUAUCUCUGUACUGUUGGUGCUUCUGCCAGUUGGGAUUGUUGGAGCUGAUUCAUAUGGAGUUUCAGUGAUGGAGGGAGAUCCAGUCACUCUACCCACCAAUGUUACAAAAACCCAACAGGAAGAUGUUAAAUAUUAUUUCAACAACACUCUUAUCGCUCAACUCACUGGAGAUCUCAGUUUUGCUUGCACUGAUGUGCAGUGUAAUAAAGUGAAUGAGAGAUUCAGAGGCCGACUGAAGCUAGACUAUGAAACUGGAACUCUGACCAUCAUGAACACCACAAGCACAGACUCUGGAGAUUAUCAUCAAGAGAUCAUCGGCAGCGGCACCAUCCAUGAAAAUAUCUUCAAUGUUUCUGUCCAUAGUGAGUCACUUUUUAAUCACAUCCCAGUGUAUUGCUGAUAUCUGAUUUCUUUUUGCCUGCUUUCUCAUUAUGCAGAUCUUUUAUGAACUUUUCCUGUGUGUAGAUUUUUUUUUUCUCUAGAAUGAUUUCAAAUUGAUUAGCCUAUUUGGUGUCUUUAACCUCAUGAUUGAUGAAAACAAACAACAUUAAAGUGCAAGCUGGGUACCAAAUAUACUAAAUAAAGUUACAUAGACAAUGUAACUUUUUAGACAGUUGUUGUCACAAGACCAUGCAUGGAGCUUUCUUUCCAAAAUGACCGUAAAUCAUCUGUUGGUUUGUGUUUCAGAUGUUUCUGCUACUAAAAGAGAUGUAGUCAAGAAAAUGUCAGAGAAGGAGGGAGAAUCUGUCACUUCAGAUUCUGGUAAUAAAUUAAUAAUGCAAUCAAUAAUUUUAUUACUUUGAUGGCUUGUUGUUAUCUUGUUAUUGAUACAUUCUAUCUUUAUCAGUUUCAGUUCUGUCUUUAGGUGCUGUAGCCGGAAUGUCUUGUUGUUAUUGCUGCUGUUGCUGGUGGGAUUUACUAUCACAGGUGCCAAACAACAGUUUUAACAUGAUGAAAAUAUAAAG
Molecule: long non-coding RNA, 976 nt
Filed under: Danio rerio (zebrafish)
Lineage: Eukaryota; Metazoa; Chordata; Actinopteri; Cypriniformes; Danionidae
Description: lncRNA (ENSDARG00000117742.1)
Source: RNAcentral